This 280-nucleotide ribosomal RNA is filed under the name uncultured prokaryote. RNAcentral's name for it is "partial 16S ribosomal RNA". It matches the Rfam family "Bacterial small subunit ribosomal RNA", at positions 524 to 803 of the family's 1533-position model. The record is from RNAcentral.
UACGUAGGGGCUAGCGUUAUCCGGAAUUACUGGGCGUAAAGGGUGCGUAGGUGGUUUCUUAAGUCAGAGGUGAAAGGCUACGGCUCAACCGUAGUAAGCCUUUGAAACUGGGAAACUUGAGUGCAGGAGAGGAGAGUGGAAUUCCUAGUGUAGCGGUGAAAUGCGUAGAUAUUAGGAGGAACACCAGUUGCGAAGGCGGCUCUCUGGCCUAACCCUGACGCUGAGGCGCAAAAGCGUGGGGAUCAAACAGGAUUAGAUACCCUGGUAGUCCCUGAGCGGG